Molecule: long non-coding RNA, 3575 nt
Organism: Hypanus sabinus (Atlantic stingray)
Lineage: Eukaryota; Metazoa; Chordata; Chondrichthyes; Myliobatiformes; Dasyatidae
Exons: 3
Source: RefSeq, a predicted model, not a curated record
CAAGAAUUAGCUUUAUCCUCAAAAUAUCAAAACAUACUGUGAAAUAUGCCAAAGAGCAACACCAUCUGAAUAUGUGAAGGGAGACUACAAGUGCCACCAUGCUUACAGCGCCAACAUAACAUGCCCACAACUUACUAAUCCUAACUGGCUCAUCUUUGGACUGAGAGGAGGCCUGCAUAAUCGUGGGGAAAACAUGCAAACUCCUUAUGGGAUUUGAACCCUGAUCGCUGAUGCUGUGACAGGAUUGUGCUUCCCCCCAAGCUAUCAUGCUGCCAUACAAAAUGAUGAAACAAAGGAAAACCUGCAAAAACAAGACGUGGUAGCAUAGCAGUUAGUGUGGCAAUAUUACAGCACCAGAUUUAACUCCCACCAGUCUGUAAGGAGUUUGUGCAUUCCCUCCUUGACUGCGAGUUUCCUCCCGGUGCUCCAGUUUACUCCCACAUUCCAAAAGUUAGUAGGUUAAUUGGUCAAUGAGAGUUCAUUGGCUUGGAAGAGCCUGUUACAAUGCAGUAUCACUAAAUUUUAAAAAAAAGACCCUUGUGUAAAAGGCCUUGUUGUAAUGUACAGGCUGUUGUAGGUGUUUCUCACUUUGUUCUGUUCCACGACACUAGCUUAUUUCAUCUUGUAUUAUUAAGGGUGUCAAAGGUCAUGGGGAGAAGGCAAGAGAAUGAGGGCUGAGGGGGAUAAUAAAUCAGCCAUGAUAGAAUGGGAGCACACCCUCAAUGGGCAAAUUCUGCUACGUUAAUAUGCCCUUAUCAGACCACCAUUGUACAAGAAUGGUAUAGAACAAAAACCAAACAACAGAAUUCUGAGAUGAUGAGAAAAUUGUCUUGUCACACUGUCAGUCACAAGACACACAUAACACUGUUAAUCUUGUCUUAUUUAAGGAAGUAAGAAAAGGCAGCAUUGUUUAAGAUAACUGAAUGAAGAUGGAAAAUCCCGAAGUUGUCUGCACCCACAAGUACUGGAACAAUGUGAAGGAAUGCAAGGUGAGUCACAACCAGGACACAGGUUCCCAGGGACUGGUAGACAAAACAGAUAAAGGAUUGCAUUAAGUCUGUGCAGAUGUACUAAGGCAGUAAUCUCCCUCUAUUGAUUGAAGUGCAACCUUUCAGAAAUGCCCUGUAUUGUCAUUUGCUUCAGAAGAACAGUAUCCACAAACAUACCUUAUGACAUAAAAAUACAAAAUUACAUAAACUCAAUCAACUGAAAUAGUAACUACCUUAACUGCACUGCAAAAACACAAACAUUCGUGUGUAUACAUAUCUGCAGAUUCUGUAAAUCUAAAAUAAAAACAGAAAAUUAUGGUAAUACUCAAAUUGGUCGAGCAGCACCCUCAAAAGAAACCGGUAACGUUUCAUAUCAGGACCCAUUGUUAGAACUUAAGUCUCUGAAGCUUAGACAUUAACUUUUCUUCACAGAUGCUGCCUGGCCUACUACUUUAGUAUUUUUUUAUAAGGCAAAAAUCGCCUAUAAACUACAGAGAUGGGUACAAUAUUGCUCCCUUUGCGGACAGCUUUGGCUCUGAGUGCUUAAAUACAAAGACGCAAGUGAAGGUCACACACAGUGAAACUUGCAGACGGCCGAACUUGUCUACAACAAAAAAUCUGCGAGGGCUGCUUCAGCGGAUGAUGGGGGGAGAAGGUCACCGGUUCGCUUCCGAGCCCUGUAUUGGAGUUGUAACUCCUUCUCCGUUCCCCCAUCCCAGACGCUGUUCGACUGGCCGAGCAGUUUGUUCUAUGUUCCAGCGUCUGUAGUUUCCAGAAGCAAAUUACAACCAUAGGCAGUCACGGCCUCGCCUCCCCUUUAAAUCCAAAUUAAUCAUCGGCAAGCAAAUAAAGAGUAAACGGCUUAACGACACGCAGGCGCACUGCGGCGGGACGCUCGUGCCUCCAGCCAGGCCCCGGUUCCGUCUAACGAGCAGAAAGAGCCGGACCUGCUGCUGGCUUGACCGACGCCGGCAGCGUUUGACAGAAAGUUGAACAGCCUGGGCCCGGUUUCACUUUCCCCUCACACACCAACUUACCAAAUAAGACUGAGGCCAGCGGCUUUCCUCGUCUAUCUCUGCAAAUUUCUUUUCCAUAUCGUAUUCCAUAAAUUUGGUCAAGCUGUCACUGGGCAAAUGUAAAUCUCUGACAUGAUGAGGCCAGAGUGUCGAUAAAGAUGUUUAAUCGAUGUUUUAACGAGAACAGUUAGAAAGCGAGAAAACAAAUAUAAGUGACACCAGAAAAUGCCAACACAGGAAACUGGAGCAACAAUUUGCUUGAGGAACUCAAAAGGUUGAGCAGCAUCUGUGGCAGGGAAGAAGGUGUCAACAUUUUGGCUCAAAACCCUUUAUCACGUCAGUUCAGCACAUCUUGGAAACCAGUCUCCGCUCCGUGGACUCUGCCUACAUAACUCACUGCCUCAGAAAGUAGCCAGCAUUAUCGAAGACCCAUCCUCUCUUCUCCAGCUAAGCUCCUUCCUACAGGCAGAAGAUAAAGGACAGUUUCUAUCACCCUGUUAUAAGAAUGAACCUCUUGGACGAUAAGGUUGACGCUUGACCUCACAUAGACCUCAUCAUUGUUAUUGGCAUUGGUUUAUUUUUGUCACAAGUACUGAGAUACAGUUAAAAAUUUGCAUUUCAUACCAUUCAUACAGUUCAAUUCACCAUGCAGCGUAUUGAGAUAGAACAAAGUAAAACAAGAACAAUGCAGAAUAAAGUGUAACAGCCAUAGAGAAAGUGCAGAGCAGGUGAACAGUAAAGUGCAAGAUCAUAACAAAGUAGAUUAUGAGGUCAAGUUUACAUUUUAUUGAAUCGGCGAACCUUUUAAUAAUCUUGUUAUAGUAGGGAAGGAGCUGUCCUUGAGCCAGUGAUAAGUACUUUCAAGCUUUUGUAUCUUUUGUCCAAUGGAAGAAGGGAGAAGAGAUAAUGUCCAGGGUGGGUGGGGUCUUUGAUUUUGCUGAUCGAGACUAUGAGAAAGAGGGGAGGCUGGUUUCCAAAUUGUGCUGAGCAAUGUCCACAGCUCUGCAGUUUUUUGCAAUCAUGUACUAAGUAGUUGCCACACCAAGCCAGAAAGAAUGUUUUCUAUGGUGGAUUGAUAAAAAUUGGUAAGGGUUAAUGUAUGCAUAUAAAAUUUCUUUAGUCUCCUGAGAAAGUAGAGGCUUUGCACCUUUUUGCUUGCCUCCAUUGCACUUCCUCUGUAACUGCAACAGUGUGAUUGUGCAUGCAUGUUUCACUUUUCCCAUACAUUACCUCGAUAUACUGAUGUCAUGAAAUAAUCAGUAUGGAUGGAAGCAAAAUGUGUAUCUCAUUACCUGUGACAUUAAUAAACCAAUUUACCCAUUUCAGCUGUGAAAAUAAGUACUGUCAACAAAUCAGAGAACGUGAAUGCUGAAUAAGGCAUAUUCAGAAUUAAUAAUAGUUUCAUUUAUGCAGUUUUACCAGUAUUCUGGCAGUGAAGGAUUCAUUGGCAAAAAUGUUACAGUAUCUAUUUAAUACUUAAGUAAUGUUUGAGCAAUAUAGCAAAUAUGUUGUUUGAUAUACAGUAUGCAUCCUUGUUUGUUUAAGUACUUCAUUAAAGGUUAAACAUAAA